UUUUUUUUUUUGAAUACUAAGAGAUUUUGGGCCGAAUGCCAUAAUCCUCCAGACCCAAAACCACACCAUGUAAUAUUAGUUUCGUACCAAGCAUCACUCGAACCGGCGACCUUUAAGUUUUACCUAAAGUUUUUACCAAUUAAGAUAAUGAUACUUGGUCGUUUUAAUUAUGUAUGGUUUUUUU
Molecule: small RNA, 184 nt
Filed under: Arabidopsis thaliana (thale cress)
Lineage: Eukaryota; Viridiplantae; Streptophyta; Magnoliopsida; Brassicales; Brassicaceae
Description: ATSL106810
Source: RNAcentral